RNAcentral lists this transfer RNA (75 nucleotides) under Argentina striata (striated argentine). RNAcentral's name for it is "tRNA-Leu". It matches the Rfam family "tRNA". From Rfam's summary of the family: Transfer RNA (tRNA) molecules are approximately 80 nucleotides in length. Their secondary structure includes four short double-helical elements and three loops (D, anti-codon, and T loops). Lineage: Eukaryota; Metazoa; Chordata; Actinopteri; Argentiniformes; Argentinidae. RNAcentral also lists the same sequence under 1 other name. The record is from RNAcentral.
GCUAAGAUGGCAGAGCCCGGUAAUUGCGAAAGGCCUAAGCCCUUUAACCCAGAGGUUCAAACCCUCUUCUUAGCC